CCAAUAGCGUAUAUUAAAGUUGUUGCAGUUAAAAAGCUCGUAGUUGAAUUUUAGGCCUGGCCGGAUGGUCCGUCUUUGGCGAGUACUGUUCUGUCGUCGGGUCUAUCCUUCUGGUGAGCCGGGAUGCCCUUUAUUGGGUGUGUCGGGGAACCAGGACCAUUACCUUGAAAAAAUUAGAGUGUUUAAAGCGGGCAUUUGCUUGAAUAGAUUAGCAUGGAAUAAUAGAAUAGGACGUUGGCUCUAUUUUGUUGGUUUUAGGACCACCGUAAUGAUUAAUAGGGAUAGUUGGGGGCAUUAGUAUUCAAUUGUCAGAGGUGAAAUUCUUGGAUUUAUUGAAGACUAACUAUUGCGAAAGCAUUUGCCAAGGAUGUUUUCAUUAAUCAAGAACGAAAGUUAGGGGAUCGAAGACGAUCAGAUACCGUCGUAGUCUUAACCAUAAACUAUGCCGACUAGGAAUCGGGCGACGUUAUUUCAUGACUCGCUCGGCGCCUUAUG
RNAcentral lists this ribosomal RNA (495 nucleotides) under uncultured Glomeromycotina. RNAcentral's name for it is "partial small subunit ribosomal RNA". It matches the Rfam family "Eukaryotic small subunit ribosomal RNA", at positions 591 to 1092 of the family's 1831-position model. Lineage: Eukaryota; Fungi; Glomeromycota. The record is from RNAcentral.